This 71-nucleotide transfer RNA is filed under the name Periplaneta japonica. RNAcentral's name for it is "tRNA-His". The record is from RNAcentral. Lineage: Eukaryota; Metazoa; Arthropoda; Insecta; Blattodea; Blattidae.
ACUUAAGUAGUUUAAUAUUUUAUAAAAUAUUGAUUUGUGAUAUCAAUGAUAUAAUUAAUUUAUCUUAGGUU